Molecule: long non-coding RNA, 2676 nt
Organism: Homo sapiens (human)
Lineage: Eukaryota; Metazoa; Chordata; Mammalia; Primates; Hominidae
Exons: 2
Source: RefSeq, a predicted model, not a curated record
UGGAACGUCGAGCGCCGGACAGGCCGUACCAAGACGGGGCGGGGGGUGCGCGAGGAAAGUUGCUUAUGUCAUUAAAGCCCCACGGGAGGCCCGGGGCGGGGCCGCGAGCGCAGAGGCGUAGGGUACGCCGGAGCCCCGGGCGCUGGAGGAGCUCGUGGUGGAACGGGGUCCAUCCCCACCUGCUAAUUCUAAGGCAAACCCUGGGAAGUUUUCGGCUUUUUUUCUUUUUCUCUUUUUUUCUUUUUCUAUUCGUUUUUGUUUGUUUUGUGACCAGAUCAUUCAUGAAAGCGCGCACUAUGCCCGGGGAGGAGAGGGGAGAAGUUUGGAAGUCCCAAACUAGAGGACGAAGGAGUGGGCGGAGAUUUUGGAAUUAUUUGCAUUAUAAAAGUUUCAGGUUUUGGAGCAUUUCGGAUUUUAGAUUUUCAGAUUUGAGAUCCUCAACUUGUAGAAGUGUGUGAAACCACAGAUGCUGAGAGAUUGCACAGCAGAGGAAUCGUCAUUCUGGUGGGAUCAGGACAAGCUUCCUGAAAUGGGUGUAUUUCAAUUUUGUUUCAACAGAGAUGAAAGCGGAGCUUGAGAGAGAAGAACUUAAGCAGUUUAUAUGGGGGCAAUGGCACAGACAAGGGCAUGGAGCUAAACCCGUGGGCAGAUGAGCUUGGCUAAUGGACAGGUUCUUGGCUGGGGAAUGAUGAGACCUCAGCUAGGAAAAGUGAGGGUGACAGAAGUUGAUUAAAUGCCCUCAAAUGCGAGAAUGGGGAAUUUAGGCAGCUUUUAUAGGUGUUUGAGCAUGAGAGAGAUGUAUUGAAAAUAUCCUGGCCGGGCGCGGUGUCUCACACCUGUAAUCCCAGCACUUUGGGAGGCCAAGGCAGGUGGAUCACGAGGUCAGGAGAUCAAGACCAUCCUGGCUAACAUGGUGAAACCCCGUCUCCACUAAAAAUACAAAAAAUUCUCCGGGCGUGGUGGUGGGCGCCUGUAGUCCCAGCUACUCUGGAGGCUGAGGCAGGAGAAUGGCGUGAGCCCGGGAGGUGGAGCUUGCAGUGAGCAGAGAUCGCGCCACUGCACUCCAGCCUGGGCGACAGAGCAAGACUCCAUCUCAAAAAAAAAAAAGAAAAAAAAGAAAAAAAAGAAAAUAUCCUUUUGAGGCCAGGCAUGGUGGCUCACGCCUAUAAUCCCAGCACUUGGGAGGCCGAGGCAGGUAGAUCACCUGAGGUCAGGAGUUCAAGACUAACCUGGCCAACAUGAGGUAACCCCAUCUCUACUAAAAAUACAAAAAAAUUAGCUGGGCGUGGUGGUGAGGACCUGUAGUUCGAGCUACUCGGGAGGCUGAGACAGAAGAAUCGCUGGAACCCAGGAGGCGGAGGUUGCAGUGAGCGGAGGUCAUGCCACUACACUCCAGCCUGGGCGACACGACCAGACAAAAAAAAAAGAGAAAGAAAAAGAAAAUACCCUAUUAAGAAGCGGCAUGUACCGUACUAAAAAGUAUGAAAGGGACUGAGAAGCUCCUGCUACUGGAUAUACAUGUCUGAAAUUUAUUGAAGGAUAUAGAUGUAUGUAAGUUUGUUGUGAGCUUGUCUGUUUUUUGAAACCCCCUUUCUCUUCCUUUCUUGGACUUUCUUCCUUUCAAGAAAACUAAGGGCUGGGCUCAGUGGCUCAAGCCUGCAAUCCCAGCACUUGGGGAGGCCAAGUGGAUCACCUGAGGUCAGGAGUUUGAGACCAGCCUGACCAACAUGGAGAAACCCCGUCUCUACUAAAAAUACAAAAUUAACCGGGCAUGGUGGUGCAUGCCUAUAAUCCCAGCUAUUCCAGAGGCUGAAGCAGGAGAAUUGCUUGAACCCGGGAGGCGGAGGUUACAGGGAGCUGAGAUCGCACCAUUGCACUCCAGCCUGGGCAACAAGAGCGAAACUCCGUCUCAGAAAACAAAACACAAACAAACAAACAAAAAAACUCAGGAGCAUGACCCAAAUGGUUGGAAGCCCCCUGGCACCUGCAUGGGAGUAGCAUUCUCUGACUAAGGAAUGAAACUGCAUUGCAGGAACACCGUGCCCCCACAUUCCUCAGCAGAAGCAGGGUUGUCAUAGCAAGCAGCAAUACAGAAGAUUGUUUUCCAGCAUGAUGAUUAUCAGGCUAGAACAUACUAACUUUAGCACAGUUUGGCCAAGCAUUCUUUCUACCCUUUUUUCACCUUGACAUCUUGAAGAAAUACCCUCUUCACAGCCAAGCACCACCCCUACCCAAGAGCAGGGGUCCAGAAAGGAUAAGUCUCCUCAAUUUAAAGAAAAGUGGGCUGGGCACAGUGGCUCAUGCCUGUAAUCCCAGCAUUUUGGGAGGUGGAGGUGGGAGGAUCGCUUGAAGUGAGGAGUUUGAGAUCAGUCUGGGCAAAAAUGCAAGACUUGUCUCAAAAAAACCAAAAAAAUUGUGAAAUUUCAUUCAUGAAGAUUUCAACAUGAAAAAUAGAUUUUUAUUUUCCUGAAGUAUUUUGGGUUAGGAGAAGAGACGAAAUUAAAGAUCAUUUCUUGCCUUAUCAGGCUGUAAGUUUGUAUUUCUGUUAUCCAGUGAAGGCAAAGGACUUUUACUUUCCUACGGUUUUCACCUCUGUUGAUAAAAUUUAGUACAAACAGCAACAAAGCACCAACAGAAAAUAAAAUCGAAAGGUCUUUCUUGACUCAAAUAAUCUCA